CCAGUCACGUGUGUGCCUUUGAAAGCAUUUUUAUAUGUUUACAUAGGAGCAUGCCAAACCUUUAAUCAUGAAUUCCCCUUGCAGAGUCAUUGAACUGGAACCAAACUGAUAGUUACCUUGAGUGUAACUCCAGUAGGUUGGUCUUGUACCCAAGGCCACUGUGAGCAACAUCCUCAGAGGUAACAAAAUGGUACUCAUGGCUUCAUCCCUCUUUACACACCAUGGUAAAUGGCCUUUCUUUUUCUAGUAUAAACCAUUUGUGACCUGUGUUAUCAUACGCACUUACAGCUAAGCAAAUAUCAAUGCUCAGAGAGUUGAAGCACCCUUGCCCAGGAUCCUUGCAACCGGAGGAGUUCCUUGGAGUUCACUUAAGCUUCAAGAAGACUCACACCCGGAACCAGGCUGACUGACAUCCAGCUGCUCCCCUGCCUAACUUCUGGGGCUGCCGUGGGACACAGCGAGGUUGGCUGGUUCUGAAGGAGGAGAUGCUCCCUAAGAAGCCGAGGAAGUCCCUGCGCCUUGCCAGCAGGAUGGAAUCAGAAAAGCUGAGCCAACUUCUACCCCUUUUGGGACUCUGCCUGGACAAAGGAGUCAGGAAGGGAUUGGAGCUGUAUAGGAUUCCUUGUUUGGAAGACUAAACCAUGUGACUAUUUACAACUUUGAGUAGCGACCUACAGAAGCCAUGGAAGAUGCCCAAGAGUUUCCCAAGGAUACAAAGUAGAUGAUUAAAUGAUAAAAAUGAUCUAGGUGCAUAGGAAUCACCCAAUCAGAAAGAGCGCCAUUUGUGUGUGGGCAAAAAUAACCAAACAACUGCUCAAUAAAACUAACUAUUGAAAAUCAUGACUUACAAGCCACAGGCAGUCUUAACAAUUGGUGCUGAUGUGGUAAACUGUCUAA
Mus musculus (house mouse) is the source of this 897-nucleotide long non-coding RNA. RefSeq annotates it as predicted gene, 40680. The transcript is spliced from 3 exons. The record is from RefSeq and is a predicted model, not a curated record. Lineage: Eukaryota; Metazoa; Chordata; Mammalia; Rodentia; Muridae.